RNAcentral lists this ribosomal RNA (769 nucleotides) under uncultured bacterium. Its description in RNAcentral is "bacterial SSU rRNA". It matches the Rfam family "Bacterial small subunit ribosomal RNA", at positions 28 to 777 of the family's 1533-position model. The record is from RNAcentral.
AUUGAACGCUGGAGGCGUGCUUAACACAUGCAAGUCGUGCGAGAAAAGUUCCUUUCGGGGACAUAGUACAGCGGCGUACGGGUGAGUAACGCGUGGGCGACCUGCCCAGAUGAUCGGGAUAACAGUUGGAAACGGCUGCUAAUACCGGAUACGAAUCAUAUUAUGUAUGAUUGAAGGGGCGCCUCUAAACUAUGCAUCCGCGUCUGGAUGGGCCCGCGUCUCAUUAGCUUGUUGGUAGGGUAACGGCCUACCAAGGCGACGAUGAGUAGCUGGUUUGAGAGGAUGACCAGCCACACUGGGACUGAAACACGGCCCAGACUCCUACGGGAGGCAGCAGUGGGGAAUAUUGCGCAAUGGGGGAAACCCUGACGCAGCGACGCCUCGUGAGGGAAGAAGGCUCUCGGGUUGUAAACCUCUGUCGGAAGGGAAGAAGUGCAUACGUGUUAAUAGCGUGUAUGUUUGACGGUACCUUCAAAGGAAGCACCGGCUAAAUCCGUGCCAGCAGCCGCGGUAAUACGGAUGGUGCAAGCGUUAAUCGGAAUCACUGGGCGUAAAGCGUACGUAGGCGGCCUUUUAAGUCAGGUGUGAAAGCCCUCGGCUCAACCGAGGAACUGCACUUGAUACUGAUAGGCUUGAGUCCUGGAGAGGAUGGCGGAAUUCCUGGUGUAGGAGUGAAAUCCGUAGAUAUCAGGAGGAACACCGGGUGGCGAAGGCGGCCAUCUGGACAGGUACUGACGCUGAGGUACGAAAGCGUGGGGAGCAAACAGGA